GACCGGCUGCCAUCUUAGUCUAGGGACUGAGGAGUCGCCGCCGCCCCGAGUCCCGGUACCAUGCAUUUCACAGUGGCCUUGUGGAGACAACGCCUUAACCCAAGGAAGUGACUCAAACUGUGAGAACUUCAGGUAUGGUGUCAUCCUGUGAGAGAAAUUGGGGGCAAGAGUGAUGCAGUGGCCAAGCUCUGGUCUUAUACCUGCU
RNAcentral lists this small RNA (205 nucleotides) under Pan troglodytes (chimpanzee). Its description in RNAcentral is "processed transcript". Lineage: Eukaryota; Metazoa; Chordata; Mammalia; Primates; Hominidae. The record is from RNAcentral.